Molecule: long non-coding RNA, 206 nt
Filed under: Nicotiana benthamiana
Lineage: Eukaryota; Viridiplantae; Streptophyta; Magnoliopsida; Solanales; Solanaceae
Description: long non-coding RNA (NBEN_LNC032728)
Source: RNAcentral
GAGUAUUUUCUGAAUUUUGAACAGUGAUUUUCCUCAGAUUUAUCUUUACAUAAAAGUAACUAAAUUUCAAUUACUUUUGAAAUUGGACUAUUUUUGAACGAUCAGUUGUAAAUCUGGUUAUUUUUUAAUUUCUCCCAACGGGGUUGGGUGAUAAGACAUGAUUAUAAAUGGAUCUGAAUCGAUAUUUUACUACAGAAUAUUGUUUA